UACAGAGGUGGCAAGCGUUGUUCGGAAUUACUGGGCGUAAAGGGCGCGUAGGCGGCCUUCUAAGUCAGACGUGAAAUCCCCCGGCUUAACCUGGGAACUGCGUCUGAUACUGGAAGGCUAGAGACUGGUAGAGGCGAGCGGAAUUCCUGGUGUAGCGGUGGAAUGCGUAGAUAUCAGGAAGAACACCGGUGGCGAAGGCGGCUCGCUGGGCCAGUUCUGACACUCAUCCGCGAAAGCGUGGGGAGCAAACAGG
This 253-nucleotide ribosomal RNA is filed under the name uncultured bacterium. Its description in RNAcentral is "partial 16S ribosomal RNA". It matches the Rfam family "Bacterial small subunit ribosomal RNA", at positions 524 to 776 of the family's 1533-position model. The record is from RNAcentral.